This 1057-nucleotide long non-coding RNA is filed under the name Strigops habroptila (Kakapo). Its description in RNAcentral is "lncRNA (ENSSHBG00005006691.1)". Lineage: Eukaryota; Metazoa; Chordata; Aves; Psittaciformes; Psittacidae. The record is from RNAcentral.
UCCAUAACAGCUUUGCAGACAGUUUAUUUAUACCAUUCAACUUACUUACAUUACACAACAGCUCAUAACCCCCUGUUCCUAGUCUGAAGUAGAGUGCUGGGAGCUUUAGCCAUCCAUGUGCUGUCUAUUGAACUUCUAAAUUCUGACAUGGGCUUCUCUUGUAAAAUCUGAUCAUUUGUGCAUAGUGAAGCUGGCACUAUUAGCACAUCACAGCUUUAGCAUGCUUCCAGAGCACUCUUCAACCUUCUGACCAUCUGAGGUAUAAAAACGUGAAGGUAAAAGAGGAUUUGCACAUCCUCUCCACUGAUUUCAGAAGCUGAUGAAGUGCAAACCACUAUGAUCGAAUCUUAAAUGUUCCAGCCUCUAUAUAGCUACAAUAUGAUCAGAAACUUUUAGCUUCCCCUGCAGAUGCUAGCCAAAGAUCUGAAAUGUAACAGUUGCUUCUUCCUAAUGCCAUAAAGUAUGAACUGUGAGAAGCAACUCGGGCAGUCUUUCCCAGAAACUUUCUAGUAGCCAAAAAUUAUUUUGAGACGUGGUACCUACAUAGUUCAUAGGAAAAAAGUCUUCGGUUCAGUAGUUUUGGCAGGUCACAGGGGUGUGCUGCUGACAGAGGUUUUCAAUGACGAGAUAGUUGCACACUGAAGUAAUUUGCAAAGAGUAUUAAGAAAGGUGCCAUGGCUCUUCUCGGCUUCAAGCAUUUGCUCUUCUAGGAAGGAAAACAGUGUGCAACCAUUUUAACAAAUGCCUCUCUACUUUAUGCACUUUGGCACAGAGGUGGUUCAUUUCCAUCACCUUGUCUUGAAUCAGUGGAAUGGUCUCACCCAGGGUCUCAGAUGGCACGUACCGCGGCCGCUGCCCCGCGGCGCUGCCUCGGCCUCCUCAGCGGCUCCGCCAUCCUCACCUCCCGCUCCGUCACCUGCGGGCGGCGAGGCAGGCACCGCACAGGCGGGGGCCUCGCCUGCUUUCACCUGCCGGGCGGCGGGGUCAGGCAGCGGGCGAGCCGCCGCACUCCGCUCUGCUCUCCUCAGCCGCCGGCAGCGGGGGCUCCUCCGGCCGC